This 508-nucleotide ribosomal RNA is filed under the name uncultured bacterium. Its description in RNAcentral is "bacterial SSU rRNA". It matches the Rfam family "Bacterial small subunit ribosomal RNA", at positions 17 to 507 of the family's 1533-position model. The record is from RNAcentral.
UCCUGGCUCAGGAUGAACGCUGGCGGCGUGCCUAAUACAUGCAAGUCGAACGCACAAGCGAAAGGUGCUUGCACUUUCAAGUGAGUGGCGAACGGGUGAGUAACACGUGGAUAACCUACCUCAAGGUUGGGGAUAACAUUUGGAAACAGAUGCUAAUACCGAAUAAAACUUAGUAUCGCAUGAUACCAGGUUAAAAGGCGCUACGGCGUCACCUAGAGAUGGAUCCGCGGUGCAUUAGUUAGUUGGUGGGGUAAAGGCUUACCAAGACAAUGAUGCAUAGCCGAGUUGAGAGACUGAUUGGCCACAUUGGGACUGAGACACGGCCCAAACUCCUACGGGAGGCUGCAGUAGGGAAUCUUCCACAAUGGGCGAAAGCCUGAUGGAGCAACGCCGCGUGUGUGAUGAAGGCUUUCUGGUCGUAAAGCACUGUUGUAUGGGAAGAACAGCUAGAGUAGGGAAUGACUUUAGUUUGACGGUACCAUACCAGAAAGGGACGGCUAAAUACGUG